UGUAUUGUGGGUUACUAGCCUUAUUAUCCCUUGACAAAGUAUUCUUGUUCAAACUUAAGAAAAUCUUGCUCAGUAAACACGGUGGAUUGUUCUUUUGCUUUCGGCUUCUUUUCAAUGGUUUUACGUUGUUUCUUUAACUGAUUCCUGUGUGACUGAUUUUUUCUGUGACAGCUUAUCUAGCAGAGCCAAGUUUUCCAGAGUCCUAUCUUGCUUGGGAUGUUUCUUGACAAACUGAUCAAUUGCUGAUUUAACUUUUCGGUCCUUAACAGUCGCUUGUUUCUUGAUAGCUUUCCCGAUGGCGCCUUUAACGUUUCUUGGUGGUGUUUUCUUGGUUGAUUUGUCGUGUUUUUCUUCUUUCUCAAACAGUUUCAAACUUUUUUUCAAUAAAGAGGUCGACAUAAUAAAAACCACUUAACAAGUACUCAAGCAAGUUUGAGCUUUAAGCACAUGGACACAGCAAGAUCAAGAAUCAAUCCAAGUUUUUAGUUUUUACAGCAUGUUUUACAGACAGCAAAUACACUGUUGUCAGUUUAUGCUUAUCGACAUUUUUUGGUUUUCCGAAUUUCCCCUUUCAAAAUUUUACAAUUUUACGUAAUUAAAGUAAAUUUAUCGAGUUCAAAUUACAAACGUUCAUCACGCAAAUAUAAAGACUAAGUAAAUAAUUCCAGAGAAAUUCAGACAAAAAAUUUUAUUAUGCGAAGGAAGCAGAUUGGCCUAGGCAACAAGGAUGAAAAAGAUUUUCGACACUGUUCGAGUAUCACACAGAAGGAAAAUAACGACUGAAUUUAAAUAGAUGCAAGCUAUCCGAUUUGAAUAGAAUCGUGCAAAGGUCAUAUGUAAGUUUGUAACAGCGGAAUUCUGUGAAAGCCUUCAUAUAAAUGGAUAAUCGAAACUCAGAUCCCCUCAAACAUUGCUGCAAAUCUAUAGUCGAAAAUUAGCUUCAUUCAUGGAUAACUGUGGAGUUCCAUUUUAUCCGAAUUUUCUUAACUGCUUCGGUGGAAUUUUGGCUGGCUUCUUAAGGAAAUUAUGUGGAGCUUGUUAUCAACGAGGUUUUUU
This is a long non-coding RNA of Daphnia pulex (common water flea), 1056 nucleotides long. RefSeq lists it as uncharacterized. The record is from RefSeq and is a predicted model, not a curated record. Lineage: Eukaryota; Metazoa; Arthropoda; Branchiopoda; Diplostraca; Daphniidae. The transcript is spliced from 2 exons.